Molecule: ribosomal RNA, 462 nt
Filed under: uncultured Streptococcus sp.
Lineage: Bacteria; Bacillati; Bacillota; Bacilli; Lactobacillales; Streptococcaceae
Description: bacterial SSU rRNA
Rfam family: Bacterial small subunit ribosomal RNA
Source: RNAcentral
CCCGCACAAGCGGUGGAGCAUGUGGUUUAAUUCGAAGCAACGCGAAGAACCUUACCAGGUCUUGACAUCCCGAUGCUAUUUCUAGAGAUAGAAAGUUACUUCGGUACAUCGGUGACAGGUGGUGCAUGGUUGUCGUCAGCUCGUGUCGUGAGAUGUUGGGUUAAGUCCCCGCAACGAGCGCAACCCCUAUUGUUAGUUGCCAUCAUUCAGUUGGGCACUCUAGCGAGACUGCCGGUAAUAAACCGGAGGAAGUGGGGAUGACGUCAAAUCAUCAUGCCCCUUAUGACCUGGGCUACACACGUGCUACAAUGGUUGGUACAACGAGUUGCGAGUCGGUGACGGCGAGCUAAUCUCUUAAAGCCAAUCUCAGUUCGGAUUGUAGGCUGCAACUCGCCUACAUGAAGUCGGAAUCGCUAGUAAUCGCGGAUCAGCACGCCGCGGUCGAAUACGUUCCCGGGCCUU